Molecule: non-coding RNA, 71 nt
Organism: Phrynosoma platyrhinos (Desert horned lizard)
Lineage: Eukaryota; Metazoa; Chordata; Lepidosauria; Squamata; Phrynosomatidae
Source: the annotation of a GenBank genome assembly
GCCAGCAUGGUGUAUUGGUUUGAAUGUUGGACUACAACUCUAGAGACCAGGGUUCAAAUCUCCAGUUGGCC